Molecule: unclassified non-coding RNA, 468 nt
Filed under: Hevea brasiliensis (rubber tree)
Lineage: Eukaryota; Viridiplantae; Streptophyta; Magnoliopsida; Malpighiales; Euphorbiaceae
Source: RNAcentral
UCUGUGUUUAUAAUACUUCUCCUUAAGCCCUUGUUGAGACACAGUUGGAGCACCUGCACCCAUUGCUUUUUGGAAAGCUUUUGCUGAAGUCACAUCUGACUGUUCUUCUAUCUCCUUCUUAGAACCCACUAUCGGAGAAGUUUCUGAUGCAACUCUAAUAAGCUUUCUGUGUUUGUGAUACUUCUUCUUAAGUCCUUGUUGUGACACUAUUGGAGCACCUGUUGCUUUUGGAAAAGCUUUUGCUGAAGCCACAUCUAAUUGAUCUUCUAUCUCCUUGUUAGAAUCCGUUGUCAGAGAAGUUUCUAGUGCAACCUCAAUGAGCUUUCUGUGUUUGGGAUACUUUUUCUUAAGCCCUUGUUGAGACGUUGGAGCACCUAAUUAAAAAUGAAUAUUUCUUAAGCCUUUGUUGAAGCCACAUAUGAGUGUUCUUCUAUCUUCUAAUUACAAGCUGCAAUUGGAGAAGCUUCA